Molecule: transfer RNA, 91 nt
Filed under: Stygiolobus caldivivus
Lineage: Archaea; Thermoproteati; Thermoproteota; Thermoprotei; Sulfolobales; Sulfolobaceae
Description: Stygiolobus sp. KN-1 tRNA-Glu
Rfam family: tRNA
About the family: Transfer RNA (tRNA) molecules are approximately 80 nucleotides in length. Their secondary structure includes four short double-helical elements and three loops (D, anti-codon, and T loops). Further hydrogen bonds mediate the characteristic L-shaped molecular structure. tRNAs have two regions of fundamental functional importance: the anti-codon, which is responsible for specific mRNA codon recognition, and the 3' end, to which the tRNAs corresponding amino acid is attached (by aminoacyl-tRNA synthetases). tRNAs cope with the degeneracy of the genetic code in two manners: having more than one tRNA (with a specific anti-codon) for a particular amino acid; and 'wobble' base-pairing, i.e. permitting non-standard base-pairing at the 3rd anti-codon position.
Source: RNAcentral
GCCGCGGUAGUAUAGCCCGGUCAAGCUCUACGCGCCGUAAGUAUGCAGGCCUCUCAAGCCUGUGGCCCGGGUUCAAAUCCCGGCCGCGGCA